RNAcentral lists this ribosomal RNA (2904 nucleotides) under Escherichia coli. Its description in RNAcentral is "23S ribosomal RNA". It matches the Rfam family "Bacterial large subunit ribosomal RNA". The record is from RNAcentral. RNAcentral also lists the same sequence under 4 other names. Lineage: Bacteria; Pseudomonadati; Pseudomonadota; Gammaproteobacteria; Enterobacterales; Enterobacteriaceae.
GGUUAAGCGACUAAGCGUACACGGUGGAUGCCCUGGCAGUCAGAGGCGAUGAAGGACGUGCUAAUCUGCGAUAAGCGUCGGUGAGGUGAUAUGAACCGUUAUAACCGGCGAUUUCCGAAUGGGGAAACCCAGUGUGUUUCGACACACUAUCAUUAACUGAAUCCAUAGGUUAAUGAGGCGAACCGGGGGAACUGAAACAUCUAAGUACCCCGAGGAAAAGAAAUCAACCGAGAUUCCCCCAGUAGCGGCGAGCGAACGGGGAGGAGCCCAGAGCCUGAAUCAGUGUGUGUGUUAGUGGAAGCGUCUGGAAAGGCGCGCGAUACAGGGUGACAGCCCCGUACACAAAAAUGCACAUACUGUGAGCUCGAUGAGUAGGGCGGGACACGUGGUAUCCUGUCUGAAUAUGGGGGGACCAUCCUCCAAGGCUAAAUACUCCUGACUGACCGAUAGUGAACCAGUACCGUGAGGGAAAGGCGAAAAGAACCCCGGCGAGGGGAGUGAAAAAGAACCUGAAACCGUGUACGUACAAGCAGUGGGAGCCUCUUAAUGGGGUGACUGCGUACCUUUUGUAUAAUGGGUCAGCGACUUAUAUUCUGUAGCAAGGUUAACCGAAUAGGGGAGCCGAAGGGAAACCGAGUCUUAACUGGGCGUUAAGUUGCAGGGUAUAGACCCGAAACCCGGUGAUCUAGCCAUGGGCAGGUUGAAGGUUGGGUAACACUAACUGGAGGACCGAACCGACUAAUGUUGAAAAAUUAGCGGAUGACUUGUGGCUGGGGGUGAAAGGCCAAUCAAACCGGGAGAUAGCUGGUUCUCCCCGAAAGCUAUUUAGGUAGCGCCUCGUGAAUUCAUCUCCGGGGGUAGAGCACUGUUUCGGCAAGGGGGUCAUCCCGACUUACCAACCCGAUGCAAACUGCGAAUACCGGAGAAUGUUAUCACGGGAGACACACGGCGGGUGCUAACGUCCGUCGUGAAGAGGGAAACAACCCAGACCGCCAGCUAAGGUCCCAAAGUCAUGGUUAAGUGGGAAACGAUGUGGGAAGGCCCAGACAGCCAGGAUGUUGGCUUAGAAGCAGCCAUCAUUUAAAGAAAGCGUAAUAGCUCACUGGUCGAGUCGGCCUGCGCGGAAGAUGUAACGGGGCUAAACCAUGCACCGAAGCUGCGGCAGCGACACUAUGUGUUGUUGGGUAGGGGAGCGUUCUGUAAGCCUGUGAAGGUGUACUGUGAGGUAUGCUGGAGGUAUCAGAAGUGCGAAUGCUGACAUAAGUAACGAUAAAGCGGGUGAAAAGCCCGCUCGCCGGAAGACCAAGGGUUCCUGUCCAACGUUAAUCGGGGCAGGGUGAGUCGACCCCUAAGGCGAGGCCGAAAGGCGUAGUCGAUGGGAAACAGGUUAAUAUUCCUGUACUUGGUGUUACUGCGAAGGGGGGACGGAGAAGGCUAUGUUGGCCGGGCGACGGUUGUCCCGGUUUAAGCGUGUAGGCUGGUUUUCCAGGCAAAUCCGGAAAAUCAAGGCUGAGGCGUGAUGACGAGGCACUACGGUGCUGAAGCGACAAAUGCCCUGCUUCCAGGAAAAGCCUCUAAGCAUCAGGUAACAUCAAAUCGUACCCCAAACCGACACAGGUGGUCAGGUAGAGAAUACCAAGGCGCUUGAGAGAACUCGGGUGAAGGAACUAGGCAAAAUGGUGCCGUAACUUCGGGAGAAGGCACGCUGAUAUGUAGGUGAAGCGACUUGCUCGUGGAGCUGAAAUCAGUCGAAGAUACCAGCUGGCUGCAACUGUUUAUUAAAAACACAGCACUGUGCAAACACGAAAGUGGACGUAUACGGUGUGACGCCUGCCCGGUGCCGGAAGGUUAAUUGAUGGGGUUAGCGGUAACGCGAAGCUCUUGAUCGAAGCCCCGGUAAACGGCGGCCGUAACUAUAACGGUCCUAAGGUAGCGAAAUUCCUUGUCGGGUAAGUUCCGACCUGCACGAAUGGCGUAAUGAUGGCCAGGCUGUCUCCACCCGAGACUCAGUGAAAUUGAACUCGCUGUGAAGAUGCAGUGUACCCGCGGCAAGACGGAAAGACCCCGUGAACCUUUACUAUAGCUUGACACUGAACAUUGAGCCUUGAUGUGUAGGAUAGGUGGGAGGCUUUGAAGUGUGGACGCCAGUCUGCAUGGAGCCGACCUUGAAAUACCACCCUUUAAUGUUUGAUGUUCUAACGUGGGCCCCUUACCGGGGUUGCGGACAGUGUCUGGUGGGUAGUUUGACUGGGGCGGUCUCCUCCUAAAGAGUAACGGAGGAGCACGAAGGUUGGCUAAUCCUGGUCGGACAUCAGGAGGUUAGUGCAAUGGCAUAAGCCAGCUUGACUGCGAGCGUGACGGCGCGAGCAGGUGCGAAAGCAGGUCAUAGUGAUCCGGUGGUUCUGAAUGGAAGGGCCAUCGCUCAACGGAUAAAAGGUACUCCGGGGAUAACAGGCUGAUACCGCCCAAGAGUUCAUAUCGACGGCGGUGUUUGGCACCUCGAUGUCGGCUCAUCACAUCCUGGGGCUGAAGUAGGUCCCAAGGGUAUGGCUGUUCGCCAUUUAAAGUGGUACGCGAGCUGGGUUUAGAACGUCGUGAGACAGUUCGGUCCCUAUCUGCCGUGGGCGCUGGAGAACUGAGGGGGGCUGCUCCUAGUACGAGAGGACCGGAGUGGACGCAUCACUGGUGUUCGGGUUGUCAUGCCAAUGGCACUGCCCGGUAGCUAAAUGCGGAAGAGAUAAGUGCUGAAAGCAUCUAAGCACGAAACUUGCCCCGAGAUGAGUUCUCCCUGACUCCUUGAGAGUCCUGAAGGAACGUUGAAGACGACGACGUUGAUAGGCCGGGUGUGUAAGCGCAGCGAUGCGUUGAGCUAACCGGUACUAAUGAACCGUGAGGCUUAACCUU